Molecule: long non-coding RNA, 585 nt
Filed under: Podarcis muralis (Common wall lizard)
Lineage: Eukaryota; Metazoa; Chordata; Lepidosauria; Squamata; Lacertidae
Description: lncRNA (ENSPMRG00000021342.1)
Source: RNAcentral
AUGGAAAUGACAGGAGGACAAGAAGGUUGUCCAGCAAUAGGAAAACAAGUUGCUCGCAAGUCGUUCCUCUUUAAAGACUACUCCAGUCGGCGUGUCAGUCAGUCCAGGCAGCGGCUGUGGGAGGAGCUCCUCGGGAGGAGGCUGGCGAGGCUGAGAGAGCCAGGGAAUGGAGCGGAGAAGAGCGCGUACAUGAGCGAAGAGGAGGUAGGCGCCGGGAGAGCGAGCGAGGCUGAGCAACUAAACUCCAUCUCCGCCUUAGCAGCAGAAGCAGGAGCCGCCGCCGCCGCCGCUAUUGCUGCCAACCCAGCGAACGCUUCGCCGGUGUGUAGGAAGAGGGCUUCGGCAAGAGAAGAAGGCAGGCGAGAGCAUCGGGAGGCAGAUAAAGCUAGCCCCCGAAACUGCUUAAGCGCGCAAGUUCGUCUCUCUUAUUUCCCCGCCGAACUCUUAAGGAAUGAAAGCUUUUCAGACAGAUCUCGUCCUCCUCUGCUUCUUCCUCUUCAGUCAAGCUACAUGCUAAUAACUAAGAAGCAAGUGUCAAGGGAUGUUCACUGCAUUAUUGGGCACCUUAAAAUACAUCUGCCUUGA